CCCUUAGAUGUUCUGGGCCGCACACGCGCUACACUGAAGGAGGCAGCGUGUACUCCUGGAUCGAAAAAUUUGGGUAACCCGCGAAUCUCCUUCGUGCUAGGGAUUGAGGUUUGCAAUUAUCCUUCAUGAACGAGGAAUUCCCAGUAAGUGCAAGUCAUAAGCUUGCGCUGACUACGUCCCUGCCCUUUGUACACACCGCCCGUCGCUACUACCGAUUGAAUGAUUUAGUGAGGACUUCGGACUGGGACCGAUGCGGCUUUCGGGCUGCGUCGGUAUUCUGGAAAGAUGUCCAAACUGUAUCAUUUAGAGGAAGUAAAAGUCGUAACA
This 327-nucleotide ribosomal RNA is filed under the name uncultured eukaryote. RNAcentral describes it as "partial 18S ribosomal RNA". It matches the Rfam family "Eukaryotic small subunit ribosomal RNA", at positions 1470 to 1796 of the family's 1831-position model. The record is from RNAcentral.